Molecule: transfer RNA, 104 nt
Filed under: Kickxella alabastrina
Lineage: Eukaryota; Fungi; Kickxellomycota; Kickxellomycetes; Kickxellales; Kickxellaceae
Description: tRNA-Thr
Rfam family: tRNA
About the family: Transfer RNA (tRNA) molecules are approximately 80 nucleotides in length. Their secondary structure includes four short double-helical elements and three loops (D, anti-codon, and T loops).
Source: RNAcentral
GCCUUCUUAGCUCAGGGGCAGAGCGUUGCACUCGUAUGUGUUUAGACAAAUAGUCUGCAUACAGAUUAAUGCAAAGGUCGUCAGUUCAAUUCUGGCAGCAGGCA